Long non-coding RNA from Oxyura jamaicensis (ruddy duck), 1909 nucleotides. RefSeq lists it as uncharacterized. NCBI's taxonomy places the organism in Eukaryota, Metazoa, Chordata, Aves, Anseriformes, Anatidae. The transcript is spliced from 3 exons. The record is from RefSeq and is a predicted model, not a curated record.
CAAAACAGACCAGGUUGCCUGGGCUUUGUGCAAUCAUGCCGGGAAGACCUCUGAGGGCAGAGAUCCCCCGGGCUCACCAGGUCUGGAAGGGAUUCCAGAGAUUGAGCACACUUAUGGGAAAUGUCUCUAUGCAUCAAGCCCUGCUGCUCCCCCAGGCCCCUGCAGAAAAGCACGAACCCCCGGCAGGAUGUGACUUGCAGCACCUGCCUGCACCCCAAACCUUCCCCAGCCCCUAUAACCUCACUGGCAAGCCCCAGCACUAGUGUGGCAUAUCCCUGUGCCACAUCAGGGGACACACUGGCGUGCUGGUGCUUUCGUGGCCAUGGCACACAAGGUUGGGGAAGGCAUCCUCCCGCCUCCCUCCUCCCCGAGGUGGUGUGAGGUUUGCAUGGCUCUCGCUCCUCUGCAGCAUGUGCAUUUCAGCGCCUCAUGAAAAUCUUCCGGAUGGGUAUCUUUGAAUAGCCAUCGGGGCUGUUGGCAUGGAAAUAAGAGCUUUCUAUUUUGCCUUUCAAAUGCCCUAUUUGGGCCAGUCAUUCAACAGUUUCAAGAGGUUUAAUCCCCUAUAAUAGCGUCCUGGAUCUUUGGCAUUUGCUCUAGCUGUAGCAGAUCCAAGCACAUGGGGCACAGUGGUGGCUCUCACAGGAUGAACAUCUGCUGUCCAACCUCUCCUGCUUUCAGGGGUGCCCUGCUGGGACCCGUCCGCUCUGUGGGCUCACAGCUGGCACUGCCACCUCUGCAGGGCUGGCUGGACCCUGGGCCUGUGCCAUCUGAAGCCUGAUAUUACUGACAGGAGUGCUGCUUCAUCCCUCUUAGCAGCCAGCAGUGAAACCUGAUGCCUGAUAAUGAUGGGAUGCAGCAAUUUGGACAGGGUAGUUUAUUGCUUUUAUUAUUUUAUUUAAGACUAAUUAUUUAACUACUUUGCCUAAAUGUCAGCAAAGACUCUUUGCAAAUAUCUUGCUUUAUUUCAGUAAACCAUUUGGAAAGAAAUGUUUCCUUUCUUUUUCCUUUAUUGCAGACAGAACCACACAGCCCUGGACAGCACUGCCCUUUUUCUAACCAGCAUUUCAGUGUGGAGUGGAAAGGGAACAGGCCAAGGAAAAUCACAGAUAAAACAGUAUUACUGAAUAUUAUUAAUCGCAGAAAGUUAAUAAUGGGAAAAUGGUGGGAAACUUUAAUCUCCUCUGUGAUUUACAAUUUUUACAAACCUUACUUUGGUUCCAAAUCACUUUCAUUUCCUAGCUUGGUCUAAGUAGAAGGUAGCCCACUCGUUGGAUGAAUCAGAGCUGUGCAGCAACAGAAGCAUUCAUUUGUUGCAGAAUUUAGGUAGUGAAAGAGGAACAGUAGGAAGAGCAAAGGCUGUAAGAGCAGAUGAGUGCUAUCCUACACAGUUGCUUUCCCCUGUUCUUCCAUCACAGACUUGUAUUGCCUGGUGGACUGCCUACCUAACUGCAGAGUCUUAUAGUCAUCAGUCUUGUAGGUGGGCUGAGAGUUUGUCUCAAGGAAGGAAAUUGCUUAGUGAUGCCCCAAUCAGAUACAAGAUGCUUCAAUUUGGAAAUACCGCAAGAAUGAAAAAAUUGACCUGAAUCUCUGCUCACGAUCUUCUGGCUUUGAAAUGGGGGCAAUUGGACAUCAUCCAUGUGGACCUGCAGCAUGAGCAGCAGUCUUGUAUCUGCCCGCUUCCCCACCCGUUGACACCUCUCUGAGGCACCAUGUCCCCUCUUCCAAAGACAUAAACACAUCUCCAUGUUUAAAGCUUGGUGCUGUGGUGUAAAGUGCUGGCCCUUCUUCCACAAACCCCUGCUCUGCAAAAGGCAGCACUCCAGUCUCUUUGAACACAUCUGCUGCUUCUGCCAGGAGGAUCACACUGAGACUUGACAGAGGCAAAACCAAACCAAACCAAACCAAACAA